UACGGGGGGAGCAAGCGUUGUUCGGAAUUACUGGGCGUAAAGGGCGCGUAGGCGGUCGUGACAAGUCACUUGUGAAAUCUCCGGGCUUAACUCGGAACGGUCAAGUGAUACUGUCGGACUAGAGUACAGAAGGGGCAACUGGAAUUCUCGGUGUAGCGGUGAAAUGCGUAGAUAUCGAGAGGAACACCUGCGGCGAAGGCGGGUUGCUGGGCUGAUACUGACGCUGAGGCGCGAAAGCCAGGGGAGCGAACGGG
This 254-nucleotide ribosomal RNA is filed under the name uncultured bacterium. RNAcentral's name for it is "partial 16S ribosomal RNA". It matches the Rfam family "Bacterial small subunit ribosomal RNA", at positions 524 to 776 of the family's 1533-position model. The record is from RNAcentral.